This 387-nucleotide ribosomal RNA is filed under the name uncultured bacterium. Its description in RNAcentral is "bacterial SSU rRNA". It matches the Rfam family "Bacterial small subunit ribosomal RNA", at positions 28 to 412 of the family's 1533-position model. The record is from RNAcentral.
GAUGAACGCUGGCGGCGUGCCUAACACAUGCAAGUCGAGCGAUGAAGUUUCCUUCGGGAGACGGAUUAGCGGCGGACGGGUGAGUAACACGUGGGCAACCUGCCUUGUAGAGGGGAAUAGCCUUCCGAAAGGAAGAUUAAUACCGCAUAAUAUUACCGAGUGGCAUCACAUGGUAAUCAAAGGAGCAAUCCGCUACAAGAUGGGCCCGCGUCGCAUUAGUUAGUUGGUGGGGUAAUGGCCUACCAAGACGACGAUGCGUAGCCGACCUGAGAGGGUGAUCGGCCACAUUGGGACUGAGACACGGCCCAGACUCCUACGGGAGGCAGCAGUGGGGAAUAUUGCACAAUGGAGGAAACUCUGAUGCAGCAACGCCGCGUGAGCGAUGAA